This 474-nucleotide ribosomal RNA is filed under the name uncultured soil bacterium. RNAcentral's name for it is "bacterial SSU rRNA". It matches the Rfam family "Bacterial small subunit ribosomal RNA", at positions 26 to 517 of the family's 1533-position model. The record is from RNAcentral.
AGGACGAACGCUGGCGGCGUGCUUAACACAUGCAAGUCGAGCGACGCCCACCCUUCGGGGUGGUGACGGAGCGGCGAACGGGUGAGUAACACGUGGGCAACCUGCCCCUAGCUCUGGGACAACCCCGGGAAACCGGGGCUAAUACCGGAUACGACUUCCUCCGGCAUCGGAGGAAGUGGAAAGUUUUUCGGCUAGGGAUGGGCCCGCGGCCUAUCAGCUUGUUGGUGAGGUAACGGCCCACCAAGGCGACGACGGGUAGCCGGCCUGAGAGGGCGACCGGGCCACGACUGGGACUGAGACACGGCCCAGACUCCACGGGAGGCAGCAGUGGGAAUAUUGCGCAAUGGGCGAAAGCCUGACGCAGCGACGCCGCGUGAGGGAUGAAGGCCUUCGGGUUGUAAACCUCUUCCAGCAGGGACGAAGCGAAAGUGACGGUACCUGCAGAAGAGCACCGGCAACACGUGCAAGCAGCCG